GACGAACGCUGGCGGCGUGCUUAACACAUGCAAGUCGAACGGAAAGGCCCUGCUUUUGUGGGGUGCUCGAGUGGCGAACGGGUGAGUAACACGUGAGUAACCUGCCCUUGACUUUGGGAUAACUUCAGGAAACUGGGGCUAAUACCGGAUAGGAGCUCCUGCUGCAUGGUGGUGGUUGGAAAGUUUCGGCGGUUGGGGAUGGACUCGCGGAUUAUCAGCUUGUUGGUGGGGUAGUGGCUUACCAAGGCUUUGACGGGUAGCCGGCCUGAGAGGGUGACCGGCCACCUUGGGACUGCGAUACGGCACAGACUCCUACGGGAGGCAGCAGUGGGGAAUAUUGCAGAAUGGGCGGAAGCCUGAUGCAGCAACGCCGCGUGCGGGAUGACGGCCUUCGGGUUGUAAACCGCUUUCGCCUGUGACGAAGCGUGAGUGACGGUAAUGGGUAAAGAAGCCCCGGCUAACUACGUG
RNAcentral lists this ribosomal RNA (468 nucleotides) under uncultured bacterium. RNAcentral's name for it is "partial 16S ribosomal RNA". It matches the Rfam family "Bacterial small subunit ribosomal RNA", at positions 28 to 507 of the family's 1533-position model. The record is from RNAcentral.